RNAcentral lists this ribosomal RNA (627 nucleotides) under uncultured Russulaceae. RNAcentral describes it as "LSU rRNA". It matches the Rfam family "Eukaryotic large subunit ribosomal RNA", at positions 47 to 649 of the family's 3401-position model. Lineage: Eukaryota; Fungi; Basidiomycota; Agaricomycetes; Russulales; Russulaceae. The record is from RNAcentral.
UAAGCGGAGGAAAAGAAACUAACAAGGAUUCCCCUAGUAACUGCGAGUGNAGCGGGAAAAGCUCAAAUUUAAAAUCUGGUGGUCUUUGGCCAUCCGAGUUGUAAUUUAGAGAAGCGUCUUCCGCGCUGGACCGUGCACAAGUCUCCUGGAAUGGAGCGUCACAGAGGGUGAGAAUCCCGUCUUUGGCAUGGACAUACCAGGGCUUUUGUGAUGCGCUCUCGAAGAGUCGAGUUGUUUGGGAAUGCAGCUCAAAAUGGGUGGUGAACUCCAUCUAAAGCUAAAUAUUGGCGAGAGACCGAUAGCGAACAAGUACCGUGAGGGAAAGAUGAAAAGCACUUUGGAAAGAGAGUGAAACAGUACGUGAAAUUGUUGAAAGGGAAACGCUUGAAGUCAGUCGCGUCGACCGAGACUCAGCCUCGCCUCGGCUUGGUGUACUUCUCGGCUGACGGGUCAGCAUCAAUUUCGCCUCUUGGAUAAUGGCGAGGGAAAUGUGACUCCUUUACGGUGUGUUAUAGUCUCUCGUCGCAUGCAAGGGUCGGGAUUGAGGAACUCAGCACGCGCCUUUGGGUGUCGGGGCUUUGCCCACGAUACGUGCUUAGGAUGUUGGCGUAAUGGCUUUAAACGACC